Long non-coding RNA from Nomascus leucogenys (northern white-cheeked gibbon), 1520 nucleotides. RefSeq lists it as uncharacterized. The transcript is spliced from 3 exons. The record is from RefSeq and is a predicted model, not a curated record. NCBI's taxonomy places the organism in Eukaryota, Metazoa, Chordata, Mammalia, Primates, Hylobatidae.
GCGGCCGCGGGACACGCUCAGCGACCUGCGCGCCCAGCUGGUGGGCCAGGGCGUGAGCUCCUGGAAGCGCGCCUUUUACUACAACGCGCGGCGGCUGGACGACCACCAGACGGUGCGCGACGCGCGCCUGCAGGACGGCUCGGUGCUGCUGCUCGUCAGCGACCCCAGAUAGUCUGGGUUGGAGGAGGCAGAGCCGUGACCGAGGGGACCUGGGUACUGGCUGAAGGAAUAGGCUGGGGCAGAGGGCACUUUUGGAAGGCACUUCUCCCGCCUCCCGGGAGCCUAGAUCUCACUCCAGGGUCUGGGCUCCCAGGUGGACCGUGAAACCCUGGCCUGACCAGCUGAUGCACACUGCUUCAGACACUCCCGCUGGAGCCCCAGUCCCUGACAUGGACCUAGGACAUUUUUGCCCCUGCCCAGCCUAUUGGGAGGGAGCCUUGAGCCUUUCAGCUCUGCUGUGUGACUUUGAGGUUGUUGCUCCCCUCUUGGGGCCCUGGGUGCCCUGUCUCAGUGGAAAGCACUCAGUGCCCUUGGAAAGCUCCCAUGGGCAGCCAGAGGGCAUCGCAAGAAGAGAAGCAUAGAGAGGGCAGGAGAGGCACUCAGAGGCACUUCCCUCUUGCCCAGGACAUUCUCCCAGCCACACCUUUGCCCAAGCCGUGCCCCCUGCCUGGAGCACUUUUCAACCUCUUCUCUGCAGCUCCAAUACACCUGGGAUUAAAGUCUCCUCCAGGAAGUCUUCUCAGAUUCCCUCCUUCCCAGCCAGAGAGCACCUAGCCCUCUUUGGGGCCCCCACAGACCCUUUGUGCAGUGAACAGCCCUGGCUGGGGGUUGUGCAGCCAGUCCUGUCCAAACUCUUCAAUGACUAAGCGGGGAGAUGCGGAUAUCCCAGCUCCUUCUCAGGCCUCCAACUGCACCCCAUUUCCACCCCCAAAUACCUCCCCAGGAGGCACCCGUGCCCACCCCCUGGUCGGUUUCCCCCUUCCCCUUAAAUCCGGAUGGCUCGUUGUCUGCAUAGGGUCUUGGGGCGGCGGAGGGGGCGGGGGUCUGAAGAACUCUGGCCAAGAGGACGAGGAUCUGGGGGUGGGGAACUGGGCCUAGGCGUGGGAGGUCAUCGCUGGGCAUUGCAGGGAGUGCGUUGUGGGAAUUCCGGGUGGAGACCCUCAGGGCAGUGUGCCGGGCCUCCGUUGCACCUCUGACCUGCAGCCGAGUCACCAUUGCGCAGCCCCUGGGGAGGGUCUUUGGGGAGGUGGUGCAGGGGCUACGCGUGUCCUUGAGGGCCAUGUUCACUCUCCGGGCACCAUGGGCGGAGGCGCCGGAGCCUGGGAAGAAAUAAUGUUUUAAUUAAGAGUCCUGUUGGCCGCAGGACUCAGGGCGUGGACAGGUGGAUAGUAAAUCACCACCAUGGGGACAGCCGCGCCCAGACGGUGCGUUUGCUUAGCUCGGGGACGGCACUUGGCCCCGGGGGCUCCUGCUUGCCUCCCCUCAGAGCAUCUGCCAAACUUCGGGCAUCUACCCUCCAA